GGGCCCGCACAAGCGGUGGAGCAUGUGGUUUAAUUCGAUGAUACGCGAGGAACCUUACCAGGGCUUAAAUGUAGUAUGACCGGCUUGGAAACAGGCCUUCUCUUCGGAGCAGAUUACAAGGUGCUGCAUGGUUGUCGUCAGCUCGUGCCGUGAGGUGUUAGGUUAAGUCCUGCAACGAGCGCAACCCCUAUUCUUAGUUGCCAGCGGUUCGGCCGGGGACUCUAAGAAGACUGCCAGCGCAAGCUGAGAGGAAGGUGGGGAUGACGUCAAAUCAUCACGGCCCUUACGUCCUGGGCUACACACGUGCUACAAUGGUAGAGACAGAGGGCAGCCAACCCGCGAGGGUGAG
This 349-nucleotide ribosomal RNA is filed under the name uncultured bacterium. Its description in RNAcentral is "bacterial SSU rRNA". It matches the Rfam family "Bacterial small subunit ribosomal RNA", at positions 917 to 1267 of the family's 1533-position model. The record is from RNAcentral.